Molecule: microRNA precursor, 75 nt
Filed under: Myotis davidii
Lineage: Eukaryota; Metazoa; Chordata; Mammalia; Chiroptera; Vespertilionidae
Description: mir-9229 microRNA precursor family
Rfam family: mir-9229 microRNA precursor family
Source: Rfam by way of RNAcentral
GAGGCACUCUUAUGGACCAGACUUGCUUCAGUGUGGCUUUAGUGCUCACUGAGUCUGCCCCUUGAGUGUGUCUCU